UACGGAGGAUGCGAGCGUUAUCCGGAUUUAUUGGGUUUAAAGGGUGCGCAGGCGGGCUGUUAAGCCGGCGGUAAAAAUUCAGGGCUCAACCCUGUCGAGCCGUCGGAACUGGCAGUCUUGAGUGGGCGAGAAGUAUGCGGAAUGCGUGGUGUAGCGGUGAAAUGCAUAGAUAUCACGCAGAACGCCGAUUGCGAAGGCAGCAUACCGGCGCCCGACUGACGCUGAGGCACGAAAGCGUGGGGAUCGAACAG
RNAcentral lists this ribosomal RNA (251 nucleotides) under uncultured bacterium. Its description in RNAcentral is "partial 16S ribosomal RNA". It matches the Rfam family "Bacterial small subunit ribosomal RNA", at positions 524 to 775 of the family's 1533-position model. The record is from RNAcentral.